This 255-nucleotide ribosomal RNA is filed under the name uncultured bacterium. Its description in RNAcentral is "partial 16S ribosomal RNA". It matches the Rfam family "Bacterial small subunit ribosomal RNA", at positions 524 to 776 of the family's 1533-position model. The record is from RNAcentral.
GACGUAGGGCGCGAGCGUUGUCCGGAUUUAUUGGGCGUAAAGAGCUCGUAGGCGGUCUGUCACGUCGGCUGUGAAAACCCGGGGCUCAACCCCGGGCCUGCAGUCGAUACGGGCAGACUAGAGUGCGGUAGGGGAGACUGGAAUUCCUGGUGUAGCGGUGAAAUGCGCAGAUAUCAGGAGGAACACCGGUGGCGAAGGCGGGGUCUCUGGGGCCGUAACUGACGCUGAGGAGCGAAAGCGUGGGGAGCGAACAGG